GAUGAACGCUGGCGGCGUGCCUAAUACAUGCAAGUCGAGCGAACAGAUGAGGAGCUUGCUCCUCUGACGUUAGCGGCGGACGGGUGAGUAACACGUGGAUAACCUACCUAUCAGACUGGGAUAACUUCGGGAAACCGGAGCUAAUACCGGAUAAUAUAUUGAACCGCAUGGUUCAAUAGUGAAAGACGGUUUUGCUGUCACUUCUAGAUGGAUCCGCGCCGCAUUAGCUAGUUGGUAAGGUAACGGGUUACCAAGGCAACGAUGCGUAUCCGACCUGAGAGGGUGAUCGGCCACACUGGAACUUAGACACGGUCCAGACUCCUACGGGAGGCAGCAGUAGGGAAUCUGCCGCAAUGGGCGAAAGCCUGACGGAGCAACGCCGCGUGAGUGAUGAAGGUCUUCGGAUCGUAAAACUCUGUUAUUAGGGAAGAACAAAUGUGUAAGUAACUAUGCACGUCUUGACGGUACCUAAUCAGAAAGCCACGGCUAACUACGUG
Molecule: ribosomal RNA, 497 nt
Filed under: uncultured bacterium
Lineage: Bacteria
Description: partial 16S ribosomal RNA
Rfam family: Bacterial small subunit ribosomal RNA
Source: RNAcentral